UUAAAUGGCUCGGUUGAUUCUUCCAUGCAGAAGUUCCUGUUUGACAAAGACCACUCUCUUGGGUUUGAUUUCCUCUGCUCCUCUUCACGCUACAGGCCGAGCUAGCUUCUUUCGGAAUUCAGUGAAAAAUAUCUCCAAACAUAGGCGUUUCCUUAGUUCAGAGGUCACAGUUGGAAGGAAUUAUCGGUUUCUGUAUCCUGCA
RNAcentral lists this unclassified non-coding RNA (202 nucleotides) under Hevea brasiliensis (rubber tree). The record is from RNAcentral. Lineage: Eukaryota; Viridiplantae; Streptophyta; Magnoliopsida; Malpighiales; Euphorbiaceae.